GCGGACGUGGUGGAAUGGCAGACACGUAGCGUUCAGGGCGCUAUGGGCGCAAGCCCGUGAGAGUUCAAAUCUCUCCGUCCGCACCA
This 86-nucleotide transfer RNA is filed under the name Candidatus Nealsonbacteria bacterium CG09_land_8_20_14_0_10_42_14. RNAcentral describes it as "tRNA-Leu". It matches the Rfam family "tRNA". Rfam says of the family: Transfer RNA (tRNA) molecules are approximately 80 nucleotides in length. Their secondary structure includes four short double-helical elements and three loops (D, anti-codon, and T loops). Lineage: Bacteria; Candidatus Nealsoniibacteriota. The record is from RNAcentral.